RNAcentral lists this ribosomal RNA (163 nucleotides) under Drosophila limensis. RNAcentral describes it as "partial 16S ribosomal RNA". Lineage: Eukaryota; Metazoa; Arthropoda; Insecta; Diptera; Drosophilidae. The record is from RNAcentral.
UUAAAUUUUAUUUAUUAAUUUUAUUAGUUUUUAAUUUAAUGUAUUAAAAAUAAUUUUAUAAAAAAAAGUUUUAGUAUUGUUUAAAGAAAAAAUAAAUUUAAUUAUAGUUAAAUAGUAUUGUAAAAGAAAAUUGAAAUAUUUUGAAAAAUUUUUAUUAAGAAAA